Girardinichthys multiradiatus is the source of this 73-nucleotide small nucleolar RNA. Lineage: Eukaryota; Metazoa; Chordata; Actinopteri; Cyprinodontiformes; Goodeidae. The record is from RefSeq and is a predicted model, not a curated record.
UUGCAUUGUGAUGAGUUCCUAUUACCGCCCCAGUCUGAAGAACAGUGACUGAUUGGUAUUCCUCUGAUCUCAU